UAAUACGGGAGGCAGCAGUGGGGAAUAUUGCACAAUGGGCGCAAGCCUGAUGCAGCCAUGCCGCGUGUGUGAAGAAGGCCUUCGGGUUGUAAAGCACUUUCAGUCGUGAGGAAGGUGGUGUAGUUAAUAGCUGCAUUAUUUGACGUUAGCGACAGAAGAAGCACCGGCUAACUCCGUGCCAGCAGCCGCGGUAAUACGGAGGGUGCGAGCGUUAAUCGGAAUUACUGGGCGUAAAGCGCAUGCAGGUGGUUUGUUAAGUCAGAUGUGAAAGCCCGGGGCUCAACCUCGGAAUAGCAUUUGAAACUGGCAGACUAGAGUACUGUAGAGGGGGGUAGAAUUUCAGGUGUAGCGGUGAAAUGCGUAGAGAUCUGAAGGAAUACCGGUGGCGAAGGCGGCCCCCUGGACAGAUACUGACACUCAGAUGCGAAAGCGUGGGGAGCAAACAGGAUUAGAUACCCUGGUAGUCCACGCCGUAAACGAUGUCUACUUGGAGGUUGUGGCCUUGAGCCGUGGCUUUCGGAGCUAACGCGUUUAG
RNAcentral lists this ribosomal RNA (535 nucleotides) under bacterium 73_VP8_H3. RNAcentral's name for it is "bacterial SSU rRNA". It matches the Rfam family "Bacterial small subunit ribosomal RNA", at positions 337 to 864 of the family's 1533-position model. The record is from RNAcentral.